UGUACCGAUUAGGUUUUUUCAAGAACCUAAUUCUACCCUCUCAGAACCUCCUUUGAAUUUUUGAUUCUCCUUCUUUAGGACCCUCAUAACCUUUAUUUGGACUAGAUAAGGCUUUGUCUUAAAUCCCAAAGCCUUAUCCUAAAACUAAAAUGGGUUGUAAGAAAGAAGGAAGAGCAAUGAAGAUAAAAUUAGAAACUCGAUCUGAAUGCCAUGGACACCCAGCACCCCGACCAUUUUAUAGCCACC
This 246-nucleotide long non-coding RNA is filed under the name Elaeis guineensis (African oil palm). Its description in RNAcentral is "long non-coding RNA (EGUI_LNC054625)". Lineage: Eukaryota; Viridiplantae; Streptophyta; Magnoliopsida; Arecales; Arecaceae. The record is from RNAcentral.